This 62-nucleotide small nuclear RNA is filed under the name Prolemur simus (greater bamboo lemur). RNAcentral's name for it is "U7 small nuclear RNA (ENSPSMG00000001431.1)". It matches the Rfam family "U7 small nuclear RNA". Rfam says of the family: Animal histone pre-mRNAs are spliced by a different mechanism than nuclear pre-mRNAs and self-splicing introns. This processing involves the U7 snRNP, which contains only one RNA species: U7. The 5' end of U7 RNA is thought to base-pair to a conserved spacer element downstream of the cleavage site in histone pre-mRNA. The record is from Rfam by way of RNAcentral. Lineage: Eukaryota; Metazoa; Chordata; Mammalia; Primates; Lemuridae.
CAGUGUUAUAACUCUUGUAGGAUUUGUCUGGCAGGUUUUCUGGUUCUCACUGGAAGAUUCCA